Molecule: ribosomal RNA, 386 nt
Filed under: uncultured bacterium
Lineage: Bacteria
Description: bacterial SSU rRNA
Rfam family: Bacterial small subunit ribosomal RNA
Source: RNAcentral
GACGAACGCUGGCGGCGUGCUUAACACAUGCAAGUCGAGCGGUAAGGCCUUUCGGGGUACACGAGCGGCGAACGGGUGAGUAACACGUGGGUGACCUGCCCUCAGCUCUGGGAUAAGCCUGGGAAACUGGGUCUAAUACCGGAUAUGACUCCAUGACGCAUGUUGUGGGGUGGAAAGCCUUGUGCGGCUGAGGAUGGGCCCGCGGCCUAUCAGCUUGUUGGUGGGGUGANGGCCUACCAAGGCGACGACGGGUAGCCGGCCUGAGAGGGCGACCGGCCACACUGGGACUGAGACACGGCCCAGACUCCUACGGGAGGCAGCAGUGGGGAAUCUUGCGCAAUGGGCGAAAGCCUGACGCAGCGACGCCGCGUGAGGGAUGACGGCCU